AUUCCCUCAGUAACGGCGAGUGAAGCGGGAAGAGCUCAAGCUUAAAAUCUCCACGCAAGUGGCGAAUUGUAGUCUAUUGAGGCUGUUGUCAGCACAGCGACCUGGGACAAGUCCCUUGGAAGAGGGCAGCAUGGAGGGUGAUACUCCCGUCUCUGCUCAGGUUGUCUGUGUGUACGAUACGCUUUCUUUGAGUCGAGUUGUUUGGGAAUACAGCUCAAAGUAGGUGGUAAAUUCCAUCUAAAGCUAAAUAUUGGUGCGAGACCGAUAGCGAACAAGUACCGUGAGGGAAAGAUGAAAAGAACUUUGAAAAGAGAGUUAAAGAGUACCUGAAACUGUUGAAAGGGAACCGUAUCGUUUCUAGUGUUUAUCCUGUGCAUAUUUCAUUGGCGGUUGCAAAAUUGCUGGUGCCCUGUGCAUGGGUGUGACGUCAGAGUCAGUUUAAAUUGCGGGAGAUGGGUGGGGAGGAGGUGCGUCACUUCGGUGAAAGUUACAGCUCUCUGCUUAGUAGCCGUGGUUAAGACUGAGGUGCCUACAACAUGCUUUGUGGUCUGCUGCUGUCUCGUUUUAGUGAUUAUCUGGAUAGCUUGCUAUGCUGGUGAUUAGUGAGGCGAUUGAUGGUGGUAGUAACUACUGC
This 634-nucleotide ribosomal RNA is filed under the name Aphanomyces salsuginosus. RNAcentral's name for it is "eukaryotic LSU rRNA". It matches the Rfam family "Eukaryotic large subunit ribosomal RNA", at positions 74 to 612 of the family's 3401-position model. Lineage: Eukaryota; Oomycota; Saprolegniomycetes; Saprolegniales; Verrucalvaceae. The record is from RNAcentral.